GGGGGGACAACAGAGACACAGCGCAGGAGAACCGAGAAGUAGGGGAGGGGAGAAUAACACAUAGACUUGGGCGGAAGAGUCCAUUGAGGGAGGAGGGGGGACGAGAGCGCAAAGUGAGCAGAGAUAUCCAGUGAAGGAGAAUCCAGAUGAAGAGAACUCAACCUGCCACUGGGGAUGGGGUCACCAUGGCCAAGGAGCUAUCAAGAUGGGAUUAUGGGUGGGUGGAGUCUGGGAAAAGAGAAAGCCAAGUUUCGCAGGCCCUGCCAGAAACGGACCGGUCUUGAAGUGCUAAGACAUCUAGGGACUGGUUCUGGAAGCCCAAGCCAAGCAAAGUCAAGCAUCUCGGGAUCCCUUCUGAAGGGUCAAGGAUCAGACUGACUUCUGGGUUAUGAAGUUUUUCAAAUGAUUAAGAGUGGACUGGAGAGAUGGCUCCACAGGUGAAGAUGCUUGCUGCCAACUCCGAUGAUGACCUGGAUUUGGUUCCCAGAACCCACAAGGUAGAAGGAGGGAGAUGACUCCAGCAAAUUGUCCUCUGACUGCCUCACACAUAGGUAUGCACAAAAUUAAGUAAAUACAUACAUAAAUGUAAAAACACUUGAAAAAAAAAGACCCACGAGUACACAUAGAAAUGAUCAUUGUCCUGAUUAUAACCCUGAUUUGAUCAUUACAUAAUGUACACAUCUAUCAACUUACCAGAACCCACACCAUAAAGAUGUACAGUUCUUAUACUUCAGUUAAACCAGGUUUAGUAAUUUGCACAAACUUUUAAAUUGGGAUUUGAAAUCAGACAUUCCUGACUCAAAACCUGUUUAUAGAAAACACUAACAGCAAAACACUAUUACACAGCCUCAAAAUUACAGGCCCUACAGGGGACCACUGUGCAGUCCUGGCAUCAAUCACUUUGGCCUCCAGCCUCAUCCAAUUUACCUAGAAAAAUGUCCACUGUCCACACUCACCGCAAGGGGGAGCUACAUCCCCCACACUUGGCUAAGCUAAUAGAGAUGGCUAAAUGUCUUUCUUGGAUCUCGAUUCUCUUCAGAAAGAUUAUCCUGAAUAAACAUUUUGCCACCAUAGCUCUUUCUAGGAAACAGAUCUGACCACGUCCCUGUUUCAGACCUUCAAAGGGUGCCAACACUGACAGCCUGACAGAACUCAGGGCACACAGAUUGCCUUUCGUGAUGUGGCCGGUCUCCCUCCACAGACCCACAACUUCCCUAGUUUCCCAACAUCCCCUUUUCUUCGUGCUUCCCUUCCUCUGAACAUGCCUCCUCUGCCCCUGUUGCUCCUAUCACCCUUUCCAUCCAUUCUACUCAAUAACAUAUUAUACUUCGUGUUCCCUUUAAUUCUGCCUAAAACAUCUCAGCUAACUCCUAACCCGUCUUCCUUCUUAACCAACCCUGACAAAAACCAUGUCUUCUGUGUCAAGUGAACAUCUCCAGUUCCCUAGGGUACUGAAAGGUCCCCAGGAGGCAAACCACGCUUUAUAGGUGUAUACCUGCCCAGCCUUGCCAGGCAGUAAAUUCUCCUGUGCUAAACUAAGAGCCCCUAAUUAAAGCCAUCCACCUGUGGCUCUUCUUGGGAGUCACCUUCAGAGGUUCAGGGGCAGAGUUCAUAAAGACACUUUUCAGUUCUUCACUCAAGUGAAGUCAGAUUCAACUUAAAACCUGCUAUAAAUCAAGCCAAGGUGGUGGGCCAUGUCUAUAGCAUCAACACUUGGGCAGUGUUAGCUGGAGGAUCAGGAGUUCAAGGUCAGCCUUGGCUGCAUAGUGCGUUUGAGACCAGCCUGGCCAACAAAAGACCUGAUGUCUUUUCUCACUCAUACCUCCUCCCUGUAAUACAUCCCUGUAUUAAUCAAUGUUCUAGAUGAGGAAACUGUAUCAGACUUACCAUCUUACUUAAAUAAAGAAUGAAGGAAUACAAGGAACCAAGUGUGUUUUCCAGAGGUGAGAUAUUGGCUGGCUCCUCUGCCCUUGUCUCCAGGCGCUUUUCUGCAUCACCAGCCCCAGCAGGAGAGACUUUGGUUACAAGGAAAUCUAAAAGGAGGCAAAAGACAUGCUUUAGAAUAAGAAUUGUUUCUCCAUAUUUAAAUGUUCGCUUAGUAUCCUCUAAAUGUUAUAGUCAUUAAGCAUAGAAUAUUUGAGUCUCCUAAGGAAAAUUACACAGAGAAAAGCAAAAGACUCCGGGAUCUUAAAGGGAUCCAUCAGACCCUUUGUUUAUAAAAAUAAAAUUGGGGCUGGAGAGAUGGCUCAGAGAUUAAGAGCACCGACUGCUCUUCCAGAGGUCCUGAGUUCAAUUCCCAGCACCCACAUGGUGGCUCACAACCAUCUGUAAUGAGAUCUGGCACCCUUUUUCGUAUACAUAAUAAAUAAAUCUUUAAUAAAAAUAAAAUCACUACUAUUCAGAGUACCUCAUCAUGUCUCCUGUCCAUUCAGGGGAAUUGAAAACAAACAAACCCCCAAAUGUAUGGUUUCUCCAUAUAGACAGAAUUGCCAGGCAUGGUUGGUGCAUGCUUUUAAUCCCAUACUCAGGAAGCAGAGGCAGGAGGAUCUCUAUGAGUUCAAGGCCAGCCUGGUCUAAAGAGUGAGAUCUUGUCUCAAAACAAACAAAAACAUCCCCACAAAACCAAACCAACUAACCCACCAACAAAACCCAAAACAAAUCAAAAAGACCAGCACCAUCAAACAAAACCACGCAGACACAAUCACAUUCAGCCAGUCCUAAUAACUCGAGUUUGAUCCCUGCAACCGCAUAGCAGAAGGAGAGAUCUGACUCCUGAAAGUUGUCUUCUCCACAUGUGCCCCAUGGCGCACACACACACUAAAUUAAAACAUUAAGGAAAAGGAAAAAGGCUCGCAGAUAGAAUACACUAAGGCUUAGCAUAGCUGGCAUGUCUCGGGUACUUCAUAUUUAGUUUAUGGACAGGGACAACUUGGUGAAAUAUGGCAGAUACCAGGGAUGAUGCAGAAGAAUUCUCUGCAGAGUGGAAACUGGCAUCUGUAGAAGCUUUGUGAAAGAAGGAGAGCCCAGUUAUACCUGAGAGGAUUCCACACAGGAGGGGAGGGGAGGGAAGGUAUUUCGACUUGCAUUACAUGAGCCUGGCAUGUCUUGUCAACAGCAGUUAGUGAAAGGCUGGACUGGACCUUCUAGGGGUCUAGGGGUCCCAACCAUGAAAUUCAGUUCGGUAUUGACCUAGUGCUGACAGUGGGUGGCAUUUCCCCAGUUGGGUGAGCACCCUAGCACCUGAGGUGCAUGCUGUGGCACUGGGAAGGCCUGCCUGGGGAGGCAGCCGGCACUCUAUGGGAGGAGCCACAACAAAGACUCUGUCCUGCAAGCACCACCUUUCCCACUCCUGAAGGCUUCGAGCAAAAGUCCAGUGAAUCUCAGUGGUGUGACUCGUGACUUGUUUUCAGUAAACAGGACCUUUCAGAAUUAAGAAGAACUUGGAAAAUUACACGUGCCCAUGACGUCCUCUGGAACGUGGAAGUCCCUGACACAUCAUUCACUCUUGCUCAUCUAGACUUCUCCGCUUCGAUGUUUCCUACUUUUUGUGUAUUAGCUGGAGAGCAGGGCUGCUACUCUAGUGAGACCAGACUCUUCACGUCUACAGACUCAUGCCACAGCUGUGCUUCACACUCUCCCAAACACACAGAAUACUGCUGGAGCUGGCAGGCAGUGGUAACACACUAGCCUAACAAGCAGGAGGCCCUGAGUAUGAUCCCCAGGACUAUGAAAAACAACCCCUCCCCCUCUAAAGCACUCCAGGAGUGACGUCCCCAUAGUACUGUAUUGGAUGGCAGAAUAACACAAUGGGAGCUUUAAGUGAAAUGAGAGUGAGCUGUACAACAACUAGAAAGCCACUGAAACCGUUAUUGAGGAUGUUAGGGGGGAAAUCCACCUUUUCUCUCCACCAAUAUUUGCUGUGUGCUGUAAAUCAAGUAUUUACAAUUACAAGUGUCAGUCUGGUCUGGACUGUCGUUCCCGAAUUGUUUCCUCAAAGCACACUAUCAAAAGACACCUGGGAUCCUUCACAGAAUCUUUAAAAAGCUGUAUUUGCUCUAUCGAGGCAACAAAUCAAAAAAGCAACUGAAUCACUAUUGCCGUUCAGAGGAGUAGGGUGAAGAGGGAGAACCAGGGCCAGGAGUUCAGACUGGUGCCCGUCAGCCUUUCCUGGGAGCCUACUUCAUACAGACCGCUGUCCCCGGGCCAGCAAGCUCUGCUUUAGAGCAUGUGGCUUUGAAGGACAAGAGCUCAGGGUCCCACUGAGAUGAUUUGUAGCCAAACACUGGUUUGCAAGUUAGUGACAGCCCCUGGCUUCUUUCCUGUUUGCGACCUCCACGCACCCGAACUCUUUUCUGUUACUUAUGGGAGACUUUUAAAUCUUAUACAUACCUGGAUUGUUCUAUCUUUUCUGCCUUUGAGAAUAAAUAGUCUUAGCAGGCUUCUUUAUAAUACAUGUCUACUUUGUAGAGAAAAAAAAUUAUGAACUUUACCUGGAUCUAUGUCUUUCUCAGUAUUUGGCUUCUGUGACACCUCUGAGGCACUCAUGUGCCCGGUCACAGGUUGAUCCAACAGUCCAGGCUCCUCUGGAAGCUGCACACCGGUCACAGGUUGAUCUAAGAGUCCAGGAUCCUCUGGAAGCUGCACACCAGUCCCAGGUUGAUCCAAUAGUCCAGGAUCCUCUGGAAGCUGCACACCGGUCACAGGUUGAUCCAAGAGUCCAGGCUCCUCUGGAAGCUGCACACCGGUCCCAGGUUGAUCCAAGAGUCCAGCAUGCUCCUCCGGAAGCUGCACACUAAGAUCUCCUGUGUUUUCUUGUGGUAAGCUGUCCUGCUGGAGUGGCUGCACCUCUGGAGAAGAACACAUGGAGAGAGCUUGAUCACAGAUCCAUUUUGGUUCAUCCAACUGACCAGCACGCCCUCAUCACAUAGCCCAACGCCCUGGAUCAUGUGUACACAAGUGAAAAAGGAAGCAAGAGUUUUAAACUCUUCCCUAUAGAUUAACAAUGACUGAAGUACAGAUUUACAAAGAAGCCUUCACUCCACAGUGUUUCAUAAACACAUUCAUGGAAAAGACUCCAAUGAGCUGGGUGGUGGUGGUGGUGGUGGUGGUGGUGGUGGUGGUGCACGCCUUUAAUCCCAGCACUCGGGAGGCAGAGGCAGGAAGAUCUCUGUGAGUUCGAGGACAGCCAGGACUCUGUUACACAGGGAAACCCUGUCUCGAAAAAACCAAAAAAAAAAAAAAAAAAAGACUCCAAUGACUUGCCAUGGCAAGGCAGCAUGUGCCCACACAGACAUGUAGAAGAGAAUUCCAGUCCAGCACAGAACCCAAGAGCCACAUGCAGAACAUAAUCUCCUUCAUACACAGGUAGCUGGGCUCAUAACCUCCUUCAUACACAGGCAGCUGGGCUCACAGAGCUCAUACAGAGAAGGGCAUUCUGCACAUGGGCAGCUUGCCAAAGUAUCUUUCAAAUACUAUCAAACGACUGCCAAGCAACAGGGAAUGGGCCCAUUGCCUUCCCUAUGAGCCUGAGUGCAUCUUUGCAGCCUCAUAUUUUACACCAAAAACUUAAUUUGAGUUUUUGGUUUUUUUUUUUUUUUUUUUUUUUUUUUUUUUAGAAAAAGUUAUUUUACGUGUAUGGGUAUUUUGUCUGCAUGUGCAUGCAGUGUCCACAGAGGCCAGAAGAGGGCAUCAGAUCUCCUGGAACUGGAGGUAUAAUGGUUGUGAGCUGCCAUGUGGGUGCUGAAAACAGAAAUCAGAUCCUUUGCCACAGAAACCAAUUCUCUUUUAACUGCUGAGCCAUCUCUCCAACCUGAAUUUUCCAUUCUUAACCAAAAGAUUUGAUUUUAAAAAAUGCUCACUUCUCCCAAUUCUCAGGAAAAUUACCUCUAGGAAGACAGCUAUUCCUGUGACUCUGUGUCCAUCACCAAUCACUUGCAAUGCAGCUACUUCUAUUUGUAAAGCAUGGAUACAAAGAAUAUAAUGUGUAACUAGGAAUCAGGAGCUUAUGACAGGUAUCCUGGGGUCAGUUCAACAGAUAGGUACUUCUAUUUGUCCAGUACUGUUAGAAAGCUCCGUGUCCUGGUUCCGGCCUUGAUUAACCUAAGAACCCCAGGGCCCAGUGAAGUAUAACUGGAGAAAACCACUGUCCCUAAGAAGCAGGAAACAGCAGGACCCCCACAAAAGAUGAAAAUUAGGAGUGAAGGAUUUCACACACGGCAUCCAUUUAAUGAGCUGUUUUGGCCAAUCCUUGUAUAAAAAGCAGUUACUGUUAGGAAACUAUCCAAGAUACAUGUAUAUCGAGGACUCUCAAAAGGAUUCCAGUCACUUGGGAAAUAAGGCCAGCAAGUGGCAAAUGGGAUUUCAUCAACUUAAAAAGCUUCUGCUCAGCAAAGGAAGUGAUAAAGUAAAGAAGCAAGACAGAAUGGGAAGAAACUUUUGUUCCCUACAAUUCAACCUAGAAUAUACAAAGAACUCAGAAGACUAGAUAAUAACCAGAUGUUCAGCCUCACGAGCCACCAAAGAAAUGAACAUUGAAACUAUUGAGAUUCUACAUCACCCCAGCCAGAACAGUGGUCAGUAAGAAAGCAAAUGCUGGUGAGGAUAUGAUAAACAUGAACCUUUAUUUAUUGCUGGCAGGUAUGAAAACUACUCCAGCUACUAUGGAAAUCAAAAAACUAAAAAUAAGUCUACCAUAUGCACCAGCUCCACCACUCCUGAGUAUUCACCCAAUGGACUCCAAGACAACAUAACUUGGAGAUAUAUUGCACAUCAAUGUUUACUGUAACCUUAGUCACAACUCUGUGUUAUGGAGACAACCUAGGUGUUCAACAAUAGAGGGACAGAUGAAGAAAAUGUAGGACGUAUAUACUGUAGGAUCUUUUCUGUCAUAAAGAAGAAUGAGGUUAUAUCAUUUGCAGGAAAAUGGAUGCAACCAGAAAUUAUAUUAAGUGAAUUAAGUCUGUCUCCAAAGGAGAGACAUCACAUUUCCUCUUAUUUCUGGAUCUCAGGAUUUAUAUAGGUACAUAAAAUCAUAUAUAUAUUUAUACAUAUAAGACAUGAAAAUUGAAACUUCUCUGUCUAGAGGAACAAAGAAGGCCAACUGGAUAGGGAAGGGUGAGAAAAGGAAGGGUAGAAUGGUGUAGAGAAGGGACAUGCUUGAAGUACUUUGCAUAUUUAGAAUGUUAUGAAAGCAGUACAAUGCUGAAUAUAUGUGAGUAUAAAUAAAUAACUACAUGAAGAAAUUGUGUUCAAUAAAGCCCCUUUUAUAACCUUAUAUGAAAGCUGUACUUUGUUAGGAGUUUUACUUUGUGAAUUAUUUUCUUGGUUACAUCUUAAGAUUUUUUAUAAAGUUUCCUUUUGAAAAUGAAAAA
This is a non-coding RNA of Peromyscus maniculatus bairdii (prairie deer mouse), 7370 nucleotides long. The record is from RefSeq and is a predicted model, not a curated record. NCBI's taxonomy places the organism in Eukaryota, Metazoa, Chordata, Mammalia, Rodentia, Cricetidae.